AACGCUGUCAUCUCUUUCCCCUUAAAGGCGCUUCUUCCCCUAUUUAUAUUCCACUCUACAAUCUCAAUUUUCAGAUCCAAAAAAAAAAACUCUCUCGGGUUCUCUCUUAUUUGUCUUCAGAUUCUAGUAGAUCGUGAAAUGAUCUAUCUUCUGACCAUGCAUUCUCUUGGUCCCGGAUUCGAUUUCUCGCGUAGGCUUCCCGGCCUAAAUAGAUCUGAUAUCGAUGUGAUAUUCCUCUCUUGGCUUGAAUUUGGAUCGGAAAGUCUUGAAGGAUCGUGCUGCCAAUUAACGUAGUCUAUGGAGUUUUGUGCUUCGAUCUGGUGAAAAUAUUUCUUGAUGUCGAGAAUCCGGAUUUCUUGCUGAGGAGGAGAUCUCUUCCUUGCAGGAACACCUAAAGAUCACACUGACUACGGUGAUUGGCCGUUUCGCGGGAUGGAGCAGGGGGUAUUGGCGUUGUGCCGGUGUUCGCGAAUAUUAAUAGGCUGCUAAUGAGUUAUGGGUAAAUUAUUCACAUGUGCUUGUUAAUAUAUUCAGCAAUUAUUCUCUCCGACCAUGUUAAAUAUAGAGUUUAGCGUGAUUGGUGGUUUGUUGGGUGAGUGGCGGAGUGGAUGAAAAGGUAUUGAGAUAUGUAGAUCUCUGAUGGAUGUUGUUAAUUGUGUCAGUCCGACCUUUGCCAUGUCAGGUGCGCUUGCUUGGCAGGUCAAAAAACCUAAUAAAAAAGAGAAUAUUUUUGGGUUUUGAAGGGGGAGAUGGCACGGGAUUAUUUAUUUAUUUAUUUUGCCCGGCUCUCCCCCUUCUGUGUUGGACAGGCUCCUUGUUUCCCUAUCUUUCUACCCACUUUCUUGUUUCUGCUGGACGGAUACCAAAAACAUAGCACAUCGUACACGGAAACCAGUGUACCAGCAGGAAUCAGCACUAACAACAUCAAUUCAUCACCCAAAGGUAUAUUCUGCUAUGGACAAGUUAAUUUCCUAAUAUAUUAUUAUUAGCUGUCUGCAUUAAGUUAUCUCCCAGCUUUUGUGGAACAGUUAACUAUUUCAUACAUAAUAUCAUAACACGAAGUGAUCACACUACCCUCAACUGUUCAAACGGCCCUUGUUAUUCAUUUACAAUAUUAUUUAUAAACUUUGAGAAAAUGUUCAUUUAAGUUUACACCUGGUGUAGAUAAAUUUGAGCCCUGGCAUCUUAACGCACAUGUGCACUGGAAUAACGAGAUGUUUGAUUUGCAGCUACCUUCCCCAUGGCAUUCUAGUCAUUGCUCACAAUGUCUACAAUCUGACUAUUCUAGCCACUGCUCACAAUGUCUUCUAGCCACAUGCAUGUUUUUUUUUGGGUGUUGUUUCAUUGCCUGCAAUCUAAUAAUAUUGAGAAAGUCCCAACAAUUUAUGACACUCAACUGCUCCAUUCAAGUUUGGAUAAAACCUGUUAUGCCGUGUGGAAAGACAAGCUAGAUGAGAUCUGAUAAAAUCCCGUUGCAAAGACAAGCUAUAUUAUUGUUUCAGUUUUGAUUCUGAGUAUCUCGACCUCAUACUUUCUAUUUUAUUGAUCACUUUUUAGAUGUUAAUAUUUAUUUACACUUAAUUCCAGUAUGAUUUUGUUAUGCAAUAUUUGUAGCCAAAAUUUCUCCCUCAGUGUAUCGGUUGUGUUAUAGCACACUGUAUUUUUCAGGGAGGAGUUAUGGAUAGUGGAUUGUUGUCACGUGAUUAUCUAUUGUAACUACGGUAUUAUUACAGCUUGUAUAGUGUUUUGAUCAAAUCUAGUCAUCCAAAAUGUAUUUUGGAAGACCUAUUGCUCCUGUAAGCUCUCUUAGCUAAUGCCUUUUCCUGCGACUGUAAUAUUGGAGGGCAUUCAAGGAUUGCCGCAUCAUGAUCUGCUACCCAAACCCAUGUUGGAAUUUAUCAUGUUCAGCCACUCUGCCUUUGGGAGCAAGUUCUGAUUCUAAUGCUUUUCCUGCGACUGUAAUAUUGGAGGGCGUUCACGGGUUGCCGCGUCAUUCAAACCUGUGUUGGAAUUUAUCAUGUUCAGCCACUCUGCCUUUUGGAGCAAGUUCUGAUUCUGGAGUUCACUUGUGCUGCCUUCUCACUAUUUGACAGAGACAAGGAGCGAUAUGCAGGAUCGGAGGUUAAUUGAUGAAGUGAGGCGUCGACACAUGAGCCUGACCUAGCCGAGCCUAUGUUGGAUCUAGGCACCACCCAUUUCUCUUCCAGGCCCGUGUUUUCUUGCCAUGACCUUGAUUGUUAUUAUACCAAGCUUUUUGAGGAUUGCCUGGAAUUCAUGUCUUGCGGAAUAUGCUUCAAUUGUACCUGAAUGACAUCAUGGUGCUAUUCGAGAGGAGAGCUACCUAGAAGAGGUGUUACAGUAGUAAUGGCUGUUAAAUGAAUUGAUACAUCUGAUUUGAGUUGACUAGUAUUAUUUCCAUCGAGAAGCCUUUUUUCUGCUAGGAACGUCAAUCAGCGUUGUUCUUUUCGCCUUAAAUAGCUAAGCUUUAUCGCACAUGGAAUGCUUUUUUUAUCCAGGGGACUUCAUUUGUCUCUCAUCAAGCGUGUGUUAUCCGUGUCUUUAAAGCGUUGUAUGCAUGCCAAGGUAACAGAAUUCAGGUUCUUUGCAUGGUUUUAUGAUUUUGAGUGUCUUCAUCCCCAACUCUUCUUAGGUAUCCUGCUCGAAAGACACUGUAUUUUCUUAUAGGUAUGUUGAUGUUUUCAUUUCCUCCAAGUGGAUGGUAUUUCAAGGCGUAAAUACCAAUAUAAAGGUUAAAAACCCUUUUUGAUAUUUCAAGGCGUGUCUUAUGUGGAAGUGGGUUCGGGGUGCAAAGAGCACUUGAUCUUUAUCAUCGAGGUAAAAACUACUUUUAUUUGCUUGUCAUGAAAAGUAUUUUCAUAUGGUUUUUUCGCCUUGAAUUUUUGGCUAACCAGUCUUGAUAUUUAGUGUCAUGUCUCAAAUUUUAUGGUGCUCAGCACUAGAUGGAGAUAUUCUUUUUGUGCCUGCUAUCUGCCAGGUGCAUCUCGGAAGUAAUUAAUAGCAAGCUACUCGUUAUUCUGAGCACCAUAGGAUUUUUAAUAAAAAUUAAUAUGUUGAGAUCCAAUAGCUCAAACUCGGUAAGAGCGUCCUAGCCUUAGUGCUAGCGAGAUUGGUGGUUCAAAUCCACCUGGAUCUGUAUUUUUUUGGUUAAUUUUUAUGUGUGGUCAAACGUUUAAAAGCCUGUAAAAUGUAAAAUGCUCGAGGUUCUAUCAUGAUUCGAUUACUAAAAUUAUUUCAUUAAAAAAACUUAAAAAAUUUAAAAAUAUAAAUUAUCAUAAAAAAUUAAGUGAGAAAAAAACAAAAGAUGACAUUAAUAAAAUAUAGAGCAUUAUUAGGAGUUGUUUGCGCGUUUCAUGACUUUGUAUGAUAGUUUAUAUUUUGUAAAAUAUAGAGCAAUAAAAAACGCAAUUGAUUUGUUUAAUUAGAAUUGCUUAUUUUUUGUUCGGUGAUGGAGACAUUCUUCAGUGUCCCUUUUUGUUUUCUUAUGACUCUUGGUGCAUGUAAAGGCCCCAAUGGUUCAAACAAUGGUAGGUACUGUUGGGGGCCACUAAAUCAAACAAUGUCAAUGGUGCAUAUAAAGGGCCAAUGGUUCACAAACUGGUGGCCACGAGUUUUUCAACUGGAUCCAAUCGCUCAAUCCGGUAAAGAGCACACAAUACAAGCCGUAAUUAAAGACUAAGCGUGUUUGGCAGUGUGGUUGCGGGUGCUUUUCAAAUAACUUUUCGUGUUAAAAUGCAUGCCAACGAUGUUUUUUUAUUUUUUAAAAUUUAUUUUUGACAUCAGCACAUCAAAACGAUCCAAAACGUACAAACCAUAUUAAAUUUUAGCAAAAAAAAAAAACAAAAAAUUUUUAAAUUUUUUGGGAACGCGGCCGCAGCCGCGUUCCCAAACGGUCCCUACCUGAUAAGUUUGCUUUUUUAUUUUUAAAGUUGGGAAUCUAGAAAUACCCAUGUUUUCUUUUUGUGUUUUUAGUUUAUUGUUUGCUUUGAAGGGUCAAAUAAACUCCGGAGAUGAAAAUGAAAUUUAAAACAGAUGAAGAAGAUACAGCGUCGAGGGUUUUCCAUAGAGUAAGAAGAAAGAGGCUGCUACUAAGAUGGACAAGUCGUCUUUUCUUUUGGUUCCUCGUUAGUUUAAUUAAAUGAAUGAGAAAAAGGUUAAAUAUUGCCUUCUAUUUCGAGUUAAGUUAGUUUUUAUAAUCAAGAGGGAGGAAACUGUCCCUCAAUUUGUAGAAUAAGAAACUGGCUUGGUUAUUGCUUCUUGUUUUUUGGCAGCAGUCCACCCUUCCAUCUUUUCAUGCAAAAUCAGCGGCUUCUUGUUUUUUUUUUUGUUUUUAAAUUUUUUUCUUUGAAUUUUUUUUCCAUUUAAUUUUUUCAAUUUAAUUAGUUGAUAACUUUUUUGAACACAUCUAACCUCAGGUAAAGUUUGGAUCAUUACUUUAUGCACUUACAUCGUUUGUUUCUUUUCAUAGUGGAAUAAGCCACAUAAAAGUGCAUUAGUGUUGUAUGAUACCUCAUUAUAUUGGAUAUAUGAUGUUUUUUAAUAUAGAAUUGAACCCAUGAUUUUACGAGCUGAUUUUUAAUCAUGCCUGUUUGAUUGAACUACACUGUUGAUUACAUCGUUCGUCAACGGUAAGCCUUCCCUCACUGCCUGAUUUCCAAAUUUCAAUAGUUGUUUAUCAUCUUGAGCUGUUUUUUUCCCAUCACAACAAUCUUAGUUUGCCACAUCGAACUCAUCCUUGACAAGAGCAUCAUUGGGAUAUGCGUGUAGCACUCCGAGUUCAAUUGAAACAGAGAGAAUAAAUUUAUCUAAAAGACUUAGUCUAGGAUAUGCUCGGUGUUCUUUCGUCUUUAUUUCUGUCACUUUUAGUUUAAAUCAUGAUUUAGAAAUUUUGUUCAAGUUGAAAAAUGGGUUUGUAUCUAUUGUUUCUUUCAUAUUUGAUUCAAUCUGGACAAACAAAAAAAACUGUUUUCUCAGUGGAUUUGUUAUCAAUUUGUGGUAUGUUUAGUUUUGCUAGUUGCACAAAUUGCUUUUAAAUAAGUGUACUUUUGAACCCAAUGUGGUUUCAGGUAAGACUUCCGUUAUGGUUGCUGCUAGCUGGUCUUGGAAGUUGGGGUUUUCCCUUUCUUUUUGGUUUGAUGAAUGAUGAAAGCUGUCUCUUCUUUUGCGUUCUUUCUUUGUCAUACUCUUUUUUUCUCUCUUUUUGCUUCAAACUUGAUUCUUUAUUAAUUUAAUUGUUGGCCAUAAAUUUGCUAUUAUUUGCCGUAAAGCAUACAAAGAUAGGAAACUAGCCUUGCUACGAGAUGCACUUAAAUCUCUAUUUCUUUUUAUUGCCGUUAUACCUGAGUUUUUUAAAUUUGAGUAUGGCUUUGAUUGCAAAAUUUGCAGGUUGAUAAGCUGAGAAAGACACUUAGACGUGAAGAGAAUGUUCAUACACCUUUGGAGAGAGCUUUUACUAGGCAUUUGGGAGCUCUACCUCGCUUACCUCCUUAUCUGCCUCCAUAUGCUAGAAUGCCCUCUAUCUAGUCUUGUUAAGAAAAUUAGCCUAUCCUAUCCACUGUUGAAUUUUUGCUUGUUUCCUAUAAACAGUAACCAGUAAGGGUUCUUAUUUGGUUUGCUCUCAACUAAUUCAAAUCUUCAGGUUCAGAUCUUCUUGCCUUUAAACACUUCAAAUAUUUCGUUGUCAAUAUGUUUUGUUUAUAUUUUACACUGCCUUUUUAUUGCUGCCUGGGUAUUUGAUAUAGGAUAAACUUAAUUCUGAUUUUUUUUUUUAUAAAACAAGUUCUUUGAUUGGGCAAUGAUUUUUCUACAAUUUUGGUCUUUUUAUGAGCUUCAAAGAGUUGACUUUGGAUGCAUGCAUGUUGUUGAUGGUGUUAGUUGCCUUGAUGGUUAGAAUUCCGGUUAUUUUUCUGUUUUGGUGUGUUAACUGAAGCCAUGAUUUCAUUAAGCAAUUGGGGAAUUUGGUGAAAACUUAAAGAGCACAAAUUGAAAAUUUUAGAGAUUAUUGAAAAUGCUUUUAAAGAGAAGCAAGCUAUGUGCCAUUAAGUUUUUGUGAAAGUGGCGCCAUUUCUCUGAGCCUUAUCACGAUCCCAUCCACUUCAAGGCUCCUUGGAGGAUUCUCUCACAUACCGUUAGAGGAAAGAAAGUAUCAGGACCUUUGUUUUUUCGCAAAAGAUUCAGGGGGGAUUUUACCUUGAUCGUGCUUGAGAUUCUUAGAGAUGUAAGGGAAGCAAUUCAAAAGACUACAGGCUAAGGAUCGGUUGAACUUAUUAAAAAAAUGCUGAAAGAGACCUGGAGUGGUACAUUGAUGCUACUCUUUUUUUUUUAAUGUUCCAAAGGAGCAUAACAAAGCUUUUCGGUACCGCCUGUACUGUACUCUUCUUUUGCUUUGCUUUUGUCUGCUAAUCUGAUUGCUAGGUUAGUUUUCGAUUUUUGUAGCAGAAAUAUAUUUUGAGGUAUGUAAAAGAAGAAUAAUUCUGACAGAAUGAGUGCAAUAUAUUUAUGUAACCUCCUCUUGGAAAACAUCAUUUUCCACCAAAGAGGAGGAGAAAAUUGUGCUUCA
This is a long non-coding RNA of Populus nigra (black poplar), 6577 nucleotides long. RefSeq lists it as uncharacterized. The transcript is spliced from 5 exons. NCBI's taxonomy places the organism in Eukaryota, Viridiplantae, Streptophyta, Magnoliopsida, Malpighiales, Salicaceae. The record is from RefSeq and is a predicted model, not a curated record.